RNAcentral lists this non-coding RNA (85 nucleotides) under Pessonella sp. PRA-29. The record is from RNAcentral. Lineage: Eukaryota; Discosea; Flabellinia; Vannellidae.
UGACGAGGAAUUUAUGUAUUUGGAGAGACAACAAGCGAAAAAAUAUCGACAAGAGGACUUUUCAGCGGCACGACAAGCUGCCAAC